ACCAGACACCAGAUCUGCUGGCACCCUGAUCUUGGACUUCUAGCCUCUGGACCUGUGAGCAGUAAAUGUCUACAUGAGCCCCUGGUCCGUGGCAGGGUGUGACAGCAGCCUGAAUGGACUGAGAUGAGCUCUGAGGUCACAUGGGAGAUGGACUUUGGCCACGUACCUCUGAACCCAGAGCUGAGCUUGGAGCAUCCCCCUUGGGAGAUCUUGACCAGACACAUGACCCUGCACACACUGCACAUGUGGAGUUGCCAGAAGGCAUGGCUCGCAGAGGCUGAACUCAAGCAGAUCUGCUUCUAAUGGCCUGGGAGGGGGCAGCGAUUGGACCAGUCUGGAACAUCAGACCACCAGUCAUGUUCUCUGUCUGCCAGCAGGCAGUGAGCUCAGUGUGAGCGGGGAGGGGGAAUGCUCUGAGGAGCCUGCCAUUAAGAGUGACAACAGCGGACCAGCAGAGCCAGACCUCAGCGGGUGUGCAGCUCCCUGCCCCCACCCCAGCCAGGCAGGAGCAAAGUGCCCCGAUUCCCCCCAAGGUACCAUGAAUAUGACGAUGUGAGACUAUCUUUGCACAGACUGGAAAAUGACAGUCAAGACCACAGUACUUGGUGGCCCAUUACACAAAGCUGAUCCAGAUUAAAGCCUGCCAACAGGUCCCAGAGGUGUCAUGUGACUGAGAAGGCAGUUCCCAUUGGUUCUGGAGGUGUCAUGUGACCGAGAAGGCACUUCCCACUGGUUCCCAGAGCUGUCAUGUGACUGAGAAGAUGGCGCCUCUUGGGUUCUAGGGUCUGUGAGGACGGCGACCCCACUUGCUGAGCCUCAGAGGUGGGGCUGUACUGACUGACCCCUGGCGGUGGUUGGGGGUGUGUUUCUGAUUGGGCUCAGUCCUGGGGUUCACUGCGAGCCUUGAUAACAAGCUACUCAGCCGGGACUCAGACCGUUGCCCGCCUGUGUACCACGUGGCUGGUGUUUGCGCCCCUGAUGCUGACGCAACCACAGGGAACAGCUUUGGCACACCCGCCACUCGAGGGCCUCAUACGCCCACCAGAGCCUUCAUCGUCUUCCAGUCUUGUGUCCAUGAUAAAAUGUCAAAAGAAAAAAAGGAAGCCGAUGUCUGAUAUUACUACUUUGAACUUUCUUAGCUACAGUCUCUGGAAGCAUGACAUUUACGGGGGAAAAAGGAUCAGAAGGAGGGGGUAACCCUGAGCGUAUUGUUCAUCAUCUUUAUCUCUGGGAUUUUCGCUUUAAUCUUCUGAGCGCCCUUGCACACCAGGAGUCUGGGCCCCGCCUGUGGUUGUCGGUCGCUGCAUAACAAUCCACUCUGCAACCAGAGAGGCUCAGAAUUUUGUUCUUCAGACUUUUCUGGAAGACUUCAGCUGGGGGUCUGUCUCCGGUCCACACGAGUGGCCAGAGCCCUGGUGGGGCCAAAGCCCUGAGGUUUGAUCUCGCUCCACCGUGACUGCGUCCAACAGGCGGCUUGGGCUUCCUGUAAUACAACAGAGCCGGGGCGGUCAGCUUGAUUGCAAGGCGACUGGCUUCCCUCCCAGCCGGAGUCCCAGAGCGACUCUUGUGCACAGCCAGGCAGCUGCUUAGAAGGCAGAAUACCCCUUGUGUUGCCUUGGACUGGUCAGGACCAAAGGGCAGGAGCUAGAUCCAGCCCUCCGUGAGACUGUGGCCAAGACCGGCAGCCACCUUUAAUCCGCCACAGUGGGAGGACUCCUUUCCACUGCAGGGGACAGUGCCCUGGGAAGGCAGCUUCCGGUGGCCCCCUUGGCACCACGGGGAAUGUGGCCCACUCUUGUUGAGGGCAGAGAUGCCACUGCCCUCUUGUGCCACCUCUUGGUCAUAUGCCACCUCCAAGAAGAAUUGGGUGCUGUCUUCUCUGUUACGUGCCCCUCCCACCUGUAACAGGUAUUCUCCAGGCUGAGCGUGGAGGAUCGGUGGCAUCUCUGAGACCCAGUGCACCUACAGCCUCCUCUGUGGUCAGCACACGCCUGUGACAAUGUGACAGUCCUUUUGCCGCCUUGGGAUAUACUGAGAGUUCAUCCGUUAGCUGGUCUGCUGCUACUUCUCCCCGGAAUUCACCGUAGGAAACUGUCUCCAUCUGAACGCCCUGUGGUCCCCUCUGCUCACACCCUGCACUCAGCAGGUGUGGAUUUGGCCCAGUCUGAGCAGCUGACCUGCAGACACAGCACGAAUGCCCAACAGCAGCCUGGGAGGCCUGUGAUCUCUAUCAGCUACCAUUGGAUUUCUGUCCUCUCCUUUGUCCUCGGGUGGCUGGGAGAGCCUGAGGAAUGUCACACAUAUCCCACCCAAGGCAAGAGGGGGCUUGAGGGGGUCUCAGCUGGCCUUAAUCAUCCCUCGUCAUAACUUUAGGAGUCCCUGCAAGAAAUAAGCCCACCGACCCAAUCCAGGAGGGACGCGGAGACCCGGAGCAGUGAGGCGAGGUUGUUUAAUCAAUGUUCUUGGGGGGGGGUGUUGGAUGGACGUACACACCCCGGGCAGUUACAGCAGACAGUUUAUGUCCUAGCACGUAUGUCCUGCCCCCGGUUCCUCACUGGCUGAUCCUGCAGAGGCUACAGCCUGACCCGGAUGUCACCUGUGUCCCUGGAAGCACAAGGUAAUAUGAGUGGAACAAGUGUGCAUCCUUUAGCUGAUGCGGACACUUUCGGUCCCCCCUCCCUCUGUUCUUUGGCACAUGCUCCUUGCAAAGCCUGUGAAAGUAAACCCGCGAAACCGAGAGGGGAAGGAGAACCAGGAAGUGGGGUGUCUAAAGGUUUGGGACUCCACAGUAGGGUGGGGGGCGGGCUCAUAUAUAUUCCCAAUAGGUUGUAAACCUGCUAACUGGACAGCACAGCUUUCAUUUGGUAUUUCUGAAAAUGAAUCAUCUCCCUUACCUCUCAGUCUACAUUCCUUUUCCUUCUUCAAAUCCGUACCCCACAGAAGAAGCCCAUCCCUCGCCGGCUCCGGGUAGGGCCGUUUCCCUGUCCGUUGGGGUGCAGCCAUUUGAUCUAUAUAAGUGAAUCCAAUUUAGCUGAUUCAUCUCUCGUGUUUAAUUUUUAUGUUAACAUAACAAGGUUAUACAGCUGAACAGGAGAGAGGCCGGGGACGGAAUUCAUAAGUGCCAGCUUCAGUUUAAAAAAAAAAAAAAGAAAAAAAAGUUCCUGGAGGAAACAGGUUGAGAGAAGGCAAGUCCUCAGACAAAGGUUUUCUCUUAGGAGCUCCGAAAGCUUUCAGCUUGAUUUAAAUAUAGAAUCAAAGCUAUUGGCAUUUAACAACCUGUGUGUAAAAGUCAGGAUUGACUUGUAAAUAAGGCCCCGGCUGGAGCCGAAGGAUUUCCGAAAUAAAUACAUCAUUGGGCUUUAUGGAUGGGCAGAGAGGGAGGCGUGCGUGUCGUCAGACCUGGGAGGACAGAGCGAUUUUUGUGUUGAGUGGAUUUUCUAGAAUUCGCCGUGCUGUUCGUGUGAGUCUCCAGGAGGGAAUGCUCAUUUGCUGCUCUAAGAGGCCAUUUGUGGGUCUUCUCAGGCCAGACUCACCUGCUAUUUUGCAUCCCUCUUCCCACUCGCAGGGAUGGUGGCCGCCCAGUCCUUGGGUCCUUGGGUUCUUGGGGGUCGCCUGCUAAUUUGGAAGCGGGCCAGGUCUUGAUGUGGGGAAUGAAGGCAGAAGGAAAUGGCGGGUAAAAUUAAAUUUCCUUCUAACCUGCAGCCCAUUGGCAAAGACUUGAGGCCAGCAGAGUAAAACCUUCCCCCAGGAAGGUCCCUCUGCCAGAGGGAAAAACAACCUGAGCUUGACCAUGGCCAGGCCUCCAGGAUCCAGGGACAGUCUUCAACCCUCAAGUAUAUGGUCAGUCACUCCUCACCAUCCAGUCCAGUGCAGUUCUUCCUGCCCGCGAGUCCUGUCCCCGUGCUUUCAUAAAAUCUAACCUUUUUGCAACAAAGACGUCUUCAAGAAUUCUUUCUUGGCCGUCAGCUCCGGACCCCCUGUCACUGCAAGACCGCACCGCUGAGACCUGCAGAGGUGGCAUCGUGGGCUGGCCCUGUAUCGUCACCAGAUUGGGCAACGCAGUCUUGUGAGUCAGAGGCAGUGCCUCCCUCGAGGCCAGUUUUCCCAGUGGGAAAAGAACCAUGCGCUGCUCCCA
Long non-coding RNA from Felis catus (domestic cat), 4135 nucleotides. RefSeq lists it as uncharacterized. The transcript has 4 exons. The record is from RefSeq and is a predicted model, not a curated record. Lineage: Eukaryota; Metazoa; Chordata; Mammalia; Carnivora; Felidae.